Molecule: ribosomal RNA, 555 nt
Filed under: Cunina becki
Lineage: Eukaryota; Metazoa; Cnidaria; Hydrozoa; Narcomedusae; Cuninidae
Description: partial large subunit ribosomal RNA
Rfam family: Bacterial large subunit ribosomal RNA
Source: RNAcentral
GCUAUUAUAAAUUAAUAGUGGGACCUGGUCAGUGGUUUAGAAUAACAUAAAAGUAAUAUAAACUUAAAGCACGCCUUAGCGUGAGGGUGGUAAUGUAGCGCAAUCAGUUGUCAUUUAAUAGGUGACUAGUAUGAAUGGUGACACGAUUUUGAUAUUGUCUCAAUUAUAAAACUCUUGAAAUUAAAAUGUAAAUGAACAUUUUUACUAUGAUCUUUAAGACGAUAAGACCCUAUGAACCUUUACUAUUUAAGAAAUAAAUUCUUUAGGAUAGUUUGAUUGGGGUGAUCUUUUUUUAAUUAAAAACAAAAAAAAAAUAAAAUGAUGAUGUUUAUCUUGUCUUUUUUCUUUUUCAGAAUUUUAAAAUUUAAUUCAGAAAAUUUUUAAUAUAUGACCAUUUAAUUUAUUAAACAAUUGACAAAAGGUACUCUAGGGAUAACAGGGCUAAAUUAAUUACUAGAUGAUAUAGGAAUUAGGAUUUGCCACCUCGAUGUUGAAUUAAAAUUACCUUUCUGUGCAGAGGCAGAAAAGGUUGGACUGUUCUUCCAUUAAAAUUUU